AUAACUUUUAACAAUGGAUCUCUAGGCUCUCACAUCGAUGAAGAACACAGUGAAAUGUGAUAAGUAAUGUGAAUUGCAGAAUUCGGUGAAUCAUUGAAUCUUUGAACGCACCUUGCACCUUUUGGUAUUCCAAAAGGUACACCUGUUUGAGUGUCAU
Molecule: ribosomal RNA, 157 nt
Filed under: Puccinia thlaspeos
Lineage: Eukaryota; Fungi; Basidiomycota; Pucciniomycetes; Pucciniales; Pucciniaceae
Description: 5.8S ribosomal RNA
Rfam family: 5.8S ribosomal RNA
About the family: 5.8S ribosomal RNA (5.8S rRNA) is a component of the large subunit of the eukaryotic ribosome. It is transcribed by RNA polymerase I as part of the 45S precursor that also contains 18S and 28S rRNA. Functionally, it is thought that 5.8S rRNA may be involved in ribosome translocation.
Source: RNAcentral